This 301-nucleotide ribosomal RNA is filed under the name uncultured bacterium. RNAcentral describes it as "partial 16S ribosomal RNA". It matches the Rfam family "Bacterial small subunit ribosomal RNA", at positions 509 to 807 of the family's 1533-position model. The record is from RNAcentral.
CAGUCGCCGCGGUAAUACGGAGGGUGCAAGCGUUACUCGGAAUCACUGGGCGUAAAGGACGCGUAGGCGGAUUAUCAAGUCUCUUGUGAAAUCUAACGGCUUAACCGUUAAACUGCUUGGGAAACUGAUAAUCUAGAGUAAGGGAGAGGCAGAUGGAAUUCUUGGUGUAGGGGUAAAAUCCGUAGAUAUCAAGAAGAAUACCUAUUGCGAAGGCGAUCUGCUGGAACUUAACUGACGCUAAUGCGUGAAAGCGUGGGGAGCAAACGGGAUUAGAUACCCCUGUAGUCCCUGUCUCUUAUAC